This 398-nucleotide ribosomal RNA is filed under the name uncultured bacterium. RNAcentral's name for it is "bacterial SSU rRNA". It matches the Rfam family "Bacterial small subunit ribosomal RNA", at positions 28 to 431 of the family's 1533-position model. The record is from RNAcentral.
GUUGAACGCUGGCGGCAUGCCUUACACAUGCAAGUCGAACGGCAGCGGACCUUCGGGUGCCGGCGAGUGGCGAACGGGUGAGUAAUAUAUCGGAACGUACCUUUCAGUGGGGGAUAACGUAGCGAAAGUUACGCUAAUACCGCAUAUUCUGUGAGCAGGAAAGCAGGGGAUCGCAAGACCUUGCGCUGAUUGAGCGGCCGAUAUCAGAUUAGCUAGUUGGUGAGGUAAAGGCUCACCAAGGCGACGAUCUGUAGCGGGUCUGAGAGGAUGAUCCGCCACACUGGAACUGAGACACGGUCCAGACUCCUACGGGAGGCAGCAGUGGGGAAUUUUGGACAAUGGGCGCAAGCCUGAUCCAGCCAUGCCGCGUGAGUGAAGAAGGCCUUCGGUUGUAAGAC